GAUGAAGAACGCAGCGAAAUGCGAUAAGUAAUGUGAAUUGCAGAAUUCAGUGAAUCAUCGAAUCUUUGAACGCACAUUGCGCCCGCCAGCACUCUGGCGGGCAUGCCUGUUCGAGCGCCAUUUCAACCAUCAAGCCCCCAGGGGCUUGUGCUGGGGCCCUGCGGCUGCCCGCAGGCCCUGAAAACCAGUGGCGGGCUCGCUAGUCACACCGAGCGCAGUAGCACAUCUCGCUCAGGGCGUGCGGCGGGCUCCUGCCGUGAAACCCCCCACUGUAACCCCAAAGGUUGACCUCGGAUCAGGUAGGAAUACCCGCUGAACUUAAGCAUAUCAAUAAGCGGAGGA
RNAcentral lists this unclassified non-coding RNA (342 nucleotides) under soil metagenome. RNAcentral describes it as "partial contains 5.8S ribosomal RNA, internal transcribed spacer 2, and large subunit ribosomal RNA". The stretch from base 1 to 120 matches the Rfam family "5.8S ribosomal RNA", at positions 35 to 154 of the family's 154-position model. The record is from RNAcentral.